RNAcentral lists this ribosomal RNA (506 nucleotides) under uncultured bacterium. RNAcentral describes it as "partial 16S ribosomal RNA". It matches the Rfam family "Bacterial small subunit ribosomal RNA", at positions 29 to 523 of the family's 1533-position model. The record is from RNAcentral.
AUUGAACGCUGGCGGCAGGCCUAACACAUGCAAGUCGGACGGUAGCACAGAGGAGCUUGCUCUUCGGGUGACGAGUGGCGGACGGGUGAGUAAUGUCUGGGAAACUGCCCGAUGGAGGGGGAUAACUACUGGAAACGGUAGCUAAUACCGCAUAACGUCGCAAGACCAAAGGGGGGGACCUUCGGGCCUCACACCAUAGGAUGUGCCCAGAUGGGAUUAGCUGGUAGGCGGGGUAACGGCCCACCUAGGCGACGAUCCCUAGCUGGUCUGAGAGGAUGACCAGCCACACUGGAACUGAGACACGGUCCAGACUCCUACGGGAGGCAGCAGUGGGGAAUAUUGCACAAUGGGCGCAAGCCUGAUGCAGCCAUGCCGCGUGUAUGAAGAAGGCCUUCGGGUUGUAAAGUACUUUCAGCGGGGAGGAAGGUGCUGAGGUUAAUAAGCUCAGCAAUUGACGUUACCCGCAGAAGAAGCACCGGCUAACUCCGUGCCAGCCGCCGCGGUAA